This 425-nucleotide ribosomal RNA is filed under the name uncultured bacterium. RNAcentral's name for it is "partial 16S ribosomal RNA". It matches the Rfam family "Bacterial small subunit ribosomal RNA", at positions 354 to 796 of the family's 1533-position model. The record is from RNAcentral.
GUGGGGAAUCUUGCGCAAUGGGCGAAAGCCUGACGCAGCCAUGCCGCGUGAAUGAUGAAGGUCUUAGGAUUGUAAAAUUCUUUCACCGGGGACGAUAAUGACGGUACCCGGAGAAGAAGCCCCGGCUAACUUCGUGCCAGCAGCCGCGGUAAUACGAAGGGGGCUAGCGUUGCUCGGAAUUACUGGGCGUAAAGGGCGCGUAGGCGGACAGUUUAGUCAGAGGUGAAAGCCCAGGGCUCAACCUUGGAAUUGCCUUUGAUACUGGCUGUCUUGAGUACUGGAGAGGUGAGUGGAACUCCGAGUGUAGAGGUGAAAUUCGUAGAUAUUCGGAAGAACACCAGUGGCGAAGGCGACUCACUGGCCCGUUACUGACGCUGAGGCGCGAAAGCGUGGGGAGCAAACAGGAUUAGAAACCCUGGUAGUCC